UACGAAGGGGGCUAGCGUUGUUCGGAAUUACUGGGCGUAAAGCGUGCGCAGGCGGUCUGUUAAGACAGAUGUGAAAUCCCCGGGCUCAACCUGGGAACGGCGCUUGUGACUGCAAGGCUAGAGUACGGCAGAGGGGGGUGGAAGUUCCACGUGUAGCAGUGAAAUGCGUAGAGAUGUGGAGGAACACCGAUGGCGAAGGCAGCCCCCCUGGGCCGAUACUGACGCUCAUGCACGAAAGCGUGGGGAGCAAACAGG
This 255-nucleotide ribosomal RNA is filed under the name uncultured bacterium. RNAcentral describes it as "partial 16S ribosomal RNA". It matches the Rfam family "Bacterial small subunit ribosomal RNA", at positions 524 to 776 of the family's 1533-position model. The record is from RNAcentral.